ACCAUGGUAACUGAGCACUUGGCUCGGCGGUUUGUUGACGUUCAGGUGUAACAUGAUUAAACUGAUUGUUGCGUCAGUCCCAAUCGGAUCCAAACCGAACAUCUUGCUGUCCUCAGUGACCCUCGUUCCCAGCCUCGGUCUUUAGCAGCCAGCAGGUGAACAGCUGCACCAUCUUCUCUGGGUUUGCUGAAUUAUUUGCUGCUCUAAAUGAGACAAACGUUUUCCGAACCGCUGAGCCUCAGGUGGCGUUUCCUGCUCUACAAGUAGCACAUAUAAGUGAGACGGUGGCCUCAAUAGGAUCAAGCUGCUAUAAAAAAACGCCUCAUCCCGUCACCACCUGCGCCUUCAUGGAGCCAGCCGCUGAUUACAGCUGCCUGUUGAAUAAUGAGGCUGGGGUCAGAGGUCAGCGGGGGUCCAGACACAAACAAACCGUCUGAUUCCCGACAGAUGGAGACGCCUGAGAUCAGCCUGAAGGAUGGAAGCUGCGGCGAGCAGCAAGUCUGUCAGGGAGCUGGUGGAGUUUCCUACCUUUGCAGAGGAAGAGGAGUCCCAGCAGAGCCAGCAGGCUGCGGAGCGACAUCUUUCCUUCAGCUUCAGAAACGGUCUGGACCCAGACUGACAGGGCGGCUGGACGGAUCAGGAGGGAGGGAAGGGGGCGGAGCCUCACGCAGGGAACGCUUUCUAGAAGAGGAGGUGGAGGAAGACGAGUGAUUUAUCCAAACCAGGAGAAGAAGAACGAGGGAGAACUUUCCACACAUGAGGGAGAAAUCAGAGCUUAAUCACUGUGGGGUGAAACAUGAACUGAUUACUUCACCUGUUGGACAUUCUGACACAUUUUGUCCUAUUAAUGGGUCUGAUUACUUUAAAACUAGUUCAGGUUAUUUCUGACUGUCGGAGCUGAAUGAACAAAUAGCAACUGAAACAGAGCUUUAUUAAAAUGUGCAGUAAUUAAAAUGUGAUCAAAGCAUUGAGAACCUUUAUAUGAAGCAGGAUCAAUAAUAUUUUAGAUACUGGUUGUGUUUUUAAUUUAACAUCAGCUGCCAGACCAGCUUUGUUUAGAAAUGUUGUUAGAGAUUAUUAAUAAAGAAACUUAAGAGG
This is a long non-coding RNA of Poecilia latipinna (sailfin molly), 1098 nucleotides long. RefSeq lists it as uncharacterized. The record is from RefSeq and is a predicted model, not a curated record. The transcript has 2 exons. NCBI's taxonomy places the organism in Eukaryota, Metazoa, Chordata, Actinopteri, Cyprinodontiformes, Poeciliidae.